GUGAGAUGNACGCUGGCGGCAGGCCUAACACAUGCAAGUCGAACGGUAGCACAGAGAGCUUGCUCUCGGGUGACGAGUGGCGGACGGGUGAGUAAUGUCUGGGAAACUGCCUGAUGGAGGGGGAUAACUACUGGAAACGGUAGCUAAUACCGCAUAACGUCGCAAGACCAAAGAGGGGGACCUUCGGGCCUCUUGCCAUCAGAUGUGCCCAGAUGGGAUUAGCUAGUAGGUGGGGUAACGGCUCACCUAGGCGACGAUCCCUAGCUGGUCUGAGAGGAUGACCAGCCACACUGGAACUGAGACACGGUCCAGACUCCUACGGGAGGCAGCAGUGGGGAAUAUUGCACAAUGGGCGCAAGCCUGAUGCAGCCAUGCCGCGUGUAUGAAGAAGGCCUUCGGGUUGUAAAGUACUUUCAGCGGGGAGGAAGGUGUUGUGGUUAAUAACCACAGCAAUUGACGUUACCCGCAGAAGAAGCACCGGCUAACUCCGUGCCAGCAGCCGCGGUAAUACGGAGGGUGCAAGCGUUAAUCGGAAUUACUGGGCGUAAAGCGCACGCAGGCGGUCUGUCAAGUCGGAUGUGAAAUCCCCGGGCUCAACCUGGGAACUGCAUUCGAAACUGGCAGGCUAGAGUCUUGUAGAGGGGGGUAGAAUUCCAGGUGUAGCGGUGAAAUGCGUAGAGAUCUGGAGGAAUACCGGUGGCGAAGGCGGCCCCCUGGACAAAGACUGACGCUCAGGUGCGAAAGCGUGGGAGCAAACAGGAUA
This 763-nucleotide ribosomal RNA is filed under the name Enterobacter sp. DHL-05. RNAcentral's name for it is "bacterial SSU rRNA". It matches the Rfam family "Bacterial small subunit ribosomal RNA", at positions 23 to 779 of the family's 1533-position model. The record is from RNAcentral. Lineage: Bacteria; Pseudomonadati; Pseudomonadota; Gammaproteobacteria; Enterobacterales; Enterobacteriaceae.